RNAcentral lists this ribosomal RNA (452 nucleotides) under uncultured bacterium. RNAcentral's name for it is "bacterial SSU rRNA". It matches the Rfam family "Bacterial small subunit ribosomal RNA", at positions 354 to 796 of the family's 1533-position model. The record is from RNAcentral.
GUGAGGAAUAUUGGACAAUGGGCGCAAGCCUGAUCCAGCGACGCCGCGUGAGUGAUGAAGGCCUUUGGGUCGUAAAGCUCUGUCAGCAGGGAAGAACGGCCGUGCGGUUAAUACCCGUGCGGAUUGACGGUACCUGCAGAGGAAGCACCGGCUAACUCCGUGCCAGCAGCCGCGGUAAUACGGAGGGUGCGAGCGUUAAUCGGAAUUACUGGGCGUAAAGGGCGCGUAGGCGGCCGAUCAAGUCAGAUGUGAAAGCCCACGGCUUAACCGUGUGAAGUGCAUCUGAAACUGGUUGGCUUGAGUAUCGGAGAGGAAAGUGGAAUUCCCGGUGUAGAGGUGAAAUUCGUAGAUAUCGGGAGGAAUACCGGUGGCGAAGGCGACUUUCUGGACGAAUACUGACGCUGAGGCGCGAAAGCGUGGGGAGCAAACAGGAUUAGAAACCCCAGUAGUCC